RNAcentral lists this ribosomal RNA (405 nucleotides) under uncultured prokaryote. RNAcentral's name for it is "bacterial SSU rRNA". It matches the Rfam family "Bacterial small subunit ribosomal RNA", at positions 355 to 774 of the family's 1533-position model. The record is from RNAcentral.
UGGGGAAUCUUGGGCAAUGGGGGCAACCCUGACCCAGCGACGCCGCGUGAGGGACGAAAUCCCUUGGGAUGUAAACCUCUGUUGUGCGGGACGAAGGACGUGACGGUACCGCACGAGGAAGCCCCGGCAAACUACGUGCCAGCAGCCGCGGUAAUACGUAGGUGGCAAGCGUUGUCCGGAAUUAUUGGGCGUAAAGGGCGCGUAGGCGGUAAUGUAAGUCAGAUGUGAAAUACUUCGGCUCAACUGAAGAACUGCAUCUGAAACUGCAUAACUAGAGUACAGAAGAGGGAAACGGAAUUCCCGGUGUAGAGGUGAAAUUCGUAGAUAUCGGGAGGAACACCAGUGGCGAAGGCGGUUUCCUGGUCUGAUACUGACGCUGAGGCGCGAAAGUGUGGGGAGCAAACA